Long non-coding RNA from Piliocolobus tephrosceles (Ugandan red Colobus), 2744 nucleotides. The record is from Ensembl. Lineage: Eukaryota; Metazoa; Chordata; Mammalia; Primates; Cercopithecidae.
AAUGAUAAAAAAAAUCACCAUAAAAGUAGCAACCAUAAAAGUAGCAACCAUAAAAGUGGUAAUCAAAAAAAGAAUAAGCAUAAGAAAAAAAUGAAUAAUGUUGAUGAUAACGAGUUUGACAUGUUAUUUUUGACAGGAGGAGUCAAACCAAAUUAUGACCACAUUAUGAACGAAUUAAAUAGUAAGUAUAGUAUAAGUGAAGAUUGUAUGAAGAGCGGUAGCUGUAAUAGCAAUAAUAUUGUUUUUAAUGAUCUUUUUUGUAAUAAAAAAAAAGAUAAAAAACAGAUUAAUAACUUAGAUUAUAUAAAUAAAAACAACAAGGAUGGAACAUUCGAANNNNNNNNNNNNNNNNNNNNNNNNNNNNNNNNNNNNNNNNNNNNNNNNNNNNNNNNNNNNNNNNNNNNNNNNNNNNNNNNNNNNNNNNNNNNNNNNNNNNUUCGAAGUCUAAUAAGAAAUCUAUAAAUUGUAAAGCCUCAUGUGAAUUUGAAUCAAAACAUGUUAACAGUGAUAUGUUAAUCAAGUUGGAUAUAAUUAAUAAUAAUGAAUCAAAUAAACAGGAUAACACAUUACAGAUUUCACUACCAAACGAAUUAGAUGAAUUAAAAAAUGAUAUAUCUGUUGAUAAUAAUAUAUCCAUUGUUCUUACUGUUAAUAACAACAGCUAUAUUUUUGAAAAUGUUUGUUAUAAAAAUAAAAAUAAAAAUAAUAAAACAAAUGUAUGUAGUAAUGAGUUUAUACAUAGUAAAUGUAACUUCAAAAAGUUGAUAAAAAAUGAUAAAGAAUCUGCAUAUGUAAUAAAUGAAGAGAAGGAAAAACAAUUGGAAUUUGACAAACAAGCAAAACAAGAGAAACGAAAACAGCGAAAACGACGUGAACAAGAGAUACGGGAACAGGAAAGACGUGAACAGAAGCAACGAGAACAAGAGAAACGAGAACAAAAACAACGAAAACAGGAGCGACGAGAACAGGAGCGACGAGAACAGGAACUACGAGAACAGGAGCGACGGGAACAAAAGCAACGAGAACAAGAACGAAGAAAAAAUAAGCAACGAAAACAUGAGCAACGAAAACAUGAGCAACGAAAACAUGAGCAACGAAAACAGGAGCAACGAAAACAGGAGCAACGAGAACAAGAGAAACGAAAACAGGAGCAACGAGAACAAGAGAAACGAAAACAGGAGCAACGAGCAAAUGAACGAAAAGAAAAGGAGCAACGGGAACAAGAGCAACGAGCAAAGGAACAACAAGUAAAGGAACGAAAAGAAAAGGAACGACGGGAAAAAGAACAACGAGAACAAGAACAACGCGAACAAGAACAACGAGAACAAGAACAACGAGAACAAGAACAACGCGAACAAGAACAACGAGAACGAGAACAACGAGAACGAGAACAACGAGAACGAGAAAUACGAGAACAAUGUAAUCUUGUCUCUGAAAAAAAGAAAAAAAAGGAAAGGGAACAUGAUAAAAAUCUAUUAUUAAAAAAUGAGUAUGAGGGAUUGGUAGAGUAUGAUCUGACAGACGAAAAUGGAAAAGUAAAAAUAGUAUAUGACUUAACAGGGGCGCGUGAAAAAAACAAAAUUGUUUAUGACUUGACAAACGAAAGAGGAGAAAGUGACAAUAAUGAAAAUGUCCAAGUACAUAUGUUACCAAAAAUAAAAAAUAACAAAAGCGACAAGGAAGAUGAUAUAUGUGACACAAAUAAGUUUACAUAUAUGAAUACGACUAGUAACGUAUUUAGAGAAAUAGAAAAUAACGACGAUAAACAAAAAGGUUGUUAUAGUUGUUCUUGUACAGAAUUGUUACGUACAUGUAAUUUAUUACUUAGCGAGUUAGAAGCACUAAAAAAAAAAAAAGGAAGAUGUAGAAGUUGUAACCACAUGUAUGAUAAUAGCAUUUUUAAAGACAAAACUUAUAAUAACACAUAUGACUUCAACAAUGUAGACAAAUCAACUUUUAAAUAUAAUAUAUUGAAAGGUGUGAUAAAACAAGAAAAGGACACUACUAUUCUUGAGGGAAAGAAGUCAAGUUAUGUGAAACCAUGUUAUAUGAAAACAGAAAUACCAGUUAGCACAAAUAAAAAGAGAAAAAAUAUUAUUUCUAGUUCUAUUCAAAAUAGUGAAAACAACUUAAGUGAUCAAGAUGAAGUGAAAAAAUUGAUUAAAAAAGAAAUACAAGUGAAUAAACUAACCAAUAACAUAUGUAGACAAACAGUGAAGAAAGAAAAUAUGAAAAAGUUAAAAAUGGCUUAUAGUACAACGAAAGAACAAAUAGAUUCUAUUAAUAUGGUUAAAAAUGUUUCUGAGAAUGUUCAUAUGUUGGUUGAUAACUCUACAUUGGAGAUAAUUAAUAGUGUAGUAAAUAGCAUAGAUAAUAGUAAUCACAUUAGUAAUAACAUAAAUAAUAAUAUAAGUAAUAACAAUAAUACCGAUCAGUGUUCAUGUGUACGCAACGUUGUUAUUAUUCCAAAAUGUAGUCAUAUAGAUGAUAAAGUCAGUAUAUUGAAUCUAAACACAUGUGUGGUAAGUAGUGAAAAUAACAAAACAGAUACAACAACAUCUACACAGAAAGCCCAAAGAAACAAUAAAAACAUACAGAUUGAUAAAAUUGAUAAUAUAAAAAAAGUAAAGUUUCGAUUUGGAUCUGAAAAGGAAAACAAAAAAAGUAAAAUUAUGAGUUUAAGCAACUAUAUAUUUAGUAAUAACAAUGAUAGGGUUAAGAAUUUGGAAACUGUAAAAAGUUAC